GAUGAACGCUGGCGGCGUGCCUAAUACAUGCAAGUCGAGCGAACAGACGAGGAGCUUGCUCCUCUGACGUUAGCGGCGGACGGGUGAGUAACACGUGGAUAACCUACCUAUAAGACUGGGAUAACUUCGGGAAACCGGAUCUAAUACCGGAUAAUAUAUUGAACCGCAGGGUUCAAUUGUAAAAGACGGUUUUGCUGUCACUUAUAGAUGGAUCCGCGCCGCAUUAGCGAGUUGGUAAGGUAACGGCUUACCAAGGCAACGAUGCGUAGCCGACCUGAGAGGGUGAUCGGCCACACUGGAACUGAGGCACGGUCCAGACUCCUACGGGAGGAAGCAGUAGGGAAUCUUCCGCAAUGGGCGAAAGCCUGACGGAGCAAAGCCGCGUGAGUGAUGUAGGUCUUCGGAUCGUAAAACUAUGUUAUUAGGGAAGAACAAAUGUGUAAGUAACUAUGCACGUAUUGACGGUACCUAAUCAGAAAGCCACGGCUAACUACGUG
RNAcentral lists this ribosomal RNA (497 nucleotides) under uncultured bacterium. Its description in RNAcentral is "partial 16S ribosomal RNA". It matches the Rfam family "Bacterial small subunit ribosomal RNA", at positions 28 to 507 of the family's 1533-position model. The record is from RNAcentral.